GGCUCUAUAGUGUAGAGGUUAUCACCUCGGAUUCUGAUUUGAAUCGGUUUAUCCGGAUUCGAACCAGAUUCCGGUAACGCCGGUUCGAGUCCGGCUAGGGCCU
Non-coding RNA from Ceratobasidium sp. 423, 103 nucleotides. NCBI's taxonomy places the organism in Eukaryota, Fungi, Basidiomycota, Agaricomycetes, Cantharellales, Ceratobasidiaceae. The record is from the annotation of a GenBank genome assembly.